AGUGAACGCUGGCGGUAUGCCUAACACAUGCAAGUCGAACGGCAGCACAGUAAGAGCUUGCUCUUACGGGUGGCGAGUGGCGGACGGGUGAGGAAUACAUCGGAAUCUACUUUUUCGUGGGUGAUAACGUAGGGAAACUUACGCUAAUACCUCAUACGACCUACGGGUUAAAGCAGGGGAUCUUCGGACCUUUCGCGAUUGAAUGAGCCGAUGUCGGAUUAGCUAGUUGGCGGGGUAAAGGCCCACCAAGGCGACGAUCCGUAGCUGGUCUGAGAGGAUGAUCAGCCACACUGGAACUGAGACACGGUCCAGACUCCUACGGGAGGCAGCAGUGGGGAAUAUUGGACAAUGGGCGCAAGCCUGAUCCAGCCAUACCGCGUGAGUGAAGAAGGCCUUCGGGUUGUAAAGCCCUUUUGUUGGGAAAGAAAAGCAGCAGGUUAAUACCCCGCUGUUCUGACGGUACCCAAAGAAUAAGCACCGGCUAACUUCGUG
RNAcentral lists this ribosomal RNA (492 nucleotides) under uncultured bacterium. RNAcentral's name for it is "partial 16S ribosomal RNA". It matches the Rfam family "Bacterial small subunit ribosomal RNA", at positions 29 to 507 of the family's 1533-position model. The record is from RNAcentral.